This 616-nucleotide ribosomal RNA is filed under the name Conocephalum japonicum. RNAcentral describes it as "eukaryotic LSU rRNA". It matches the Rfam family "Eukaryotic large subunit ribosomal RNA", at positions 63 to 620 of the family's 3401-position model. The record is from RNAcentral. Lineage: Eukaryota; Viridiplantae; Streptophyta; Marchantiopsida; Marchantiales; Conocephalaceae.
AACUAACAAGGAUUCCCUUAGUAGCGGCGAGCGAACCGGGAGAAGCCCAGCUUGAAAAUCGCGUUUUCUGAUAAAAAAGGGAAUGCGAGUUGUAGUCUGGAGAAGUGUCCUCUGCGGCGGACCCGGCCUAAGUCCCCUGGAAAGGGGCGUCAGAGAGGGUGAGAACCCCGUCGGGCCGGGACCCUGUUGCUCCACGAGGCACUGUCAAGGAGUCGGGCUGUUUGGGAAUGCAGCCCUAAGCGGGAGGUAAAUUCCUUCCAAGGCUAAAUACAGGCGGGAGACCGAUAGCGAACAAGUACCGCGAGGGAAAGAUGAAAAGGACUUUGAAAAGAGAGUUAAAAAGUGCUUGAAAUUGCUGGGAGGGAAGCGAAUGGAGGCCUGCGGUGCUUGCCUCGGUCGGAUGCGGAACGGCGAAAGCUGGUCCGCCGCUCGACUCGGGGUGCCGGUCGGCGUGGGCUUUCUCGGCGGGAUAAAAGUCGGUCCCUCCUUUUCGUUUCGGCGAGGGGAGUUUUGGUGCCGGCCUAUGCCGUCGGGGAGGUCGAGGAACCCGUAAGAAGUGCGCGUCUCUUUUGAGACGGGUUCUUCCGUGAGAACGGAAGGGCACCUGCGUACUCGA